Long non-coding RNA from Vespa mandarinia (Asian giant hornet), 1165 nucleotides. The record is from RefSeq and is a predicted model, not a curated record. Lineage: Eukaryota; Metazoa; Arthropoda; Insecta; Hymenoptera; Vespidae.
UAGUAUUCCUUCCAUUGAGUGCACAGUUUUUAAAAGAAAUCGGUUGAUCUCUCGGUUGAUCGAAGAUGUAGGCCCCCAUUAAAGUAUCCUGGAUUUAUCGAAUUAUCUCCGCAUACAUAACACUCCAUCGAGAUCGGCUAAUGAUAAUGCGCGUAAAUUGGAAAAGGUCUUUUCUUAUCGCAAGAAUAAAGAGAGAGAAAGAGAGGGAGAAUGAUAGGAAGAGGGAGAAACAUUUUACAGAUAUUUCAUAAUACACUGUAGUCGCUAUGCGAUUUACACGUUUUUACGUCACGUUACACUUACUUACACGCGUAAGUAAAUAAUAUUCCCUUUUUAUUUUUUUAAUUGUUCAGUGAAAAGCGAGGAAACUCUAAAGUGAUGAUAUGAGAAAUAACUCAAAGGGAACGUUAACAAAAAAUGUGAAAAAAAGGGUACAUGAAUUUCGAUGAUUCUCGAGAUAUUCGCGACAAGAUGUAUGGUCAUGUGAGCACUCCCUAAAUGUUUGACGAAAAAUACAAUACUUGGAUGAGAAAGUUUUAACGAACGGAUUUGAAAUCAAUCGAGCAAACAGACAAUUUUUGAUUGACUUAGUUAUUAAUGGUUGUUAGCUCGGAUUGAAGAAUUUAUAAUAAUUUGAUUUAAACAGGCGCACACGUAUACAUAGACACAUGUACACAUAGACACUUGUCGCACUAGACGCACACAUAGGCACCUGUCGUACUAGACGUACACAUAGACACCUGUUUCCUUUGGGAUGAGGAUCGUAAUUUUUUUCUUUCUCGUAAAAUUAAUAAAUUUUUUUGCAGAAAAUUCAUACCUUUUAAACACAAUAGAUAAGACCUCUCAUAGUUGACGAAGAUUGACCGGUCGUUCAAUAGGCACAUACUAUGCACGUACGUUUAAUACGAGAAAUAAUUAAAACGCGAAUUAAUUAAUUGUCCAUUUUGGUGAUGAGACGCGCUACAGAUUGAAUUCGUAACGUUGAUAGUCGACCAACGUAUUCAAGUACUUGGCCGAACGAAGACUAUUCGUUGAUCGAGUCAUGAACCAUUGGAAAAGCUCUGGAACGGUGGGAGGAUGAGAAAUCGUAAUAUUGACCAUCGUGUCUAUUAAAAUCUUUCUUUUUUUCUUUUUUCUUUUUUUUUUUUUUUUUUUUUUUUUUAAA